This 254-nucleotide ribosomal RNA is filed under the name uncultured bacterium. RNAcentral's name for it is "partial 16S ribosomal RNA". It matches the Rfam family "Bacterial small subunit ribosomal RNA", at positions 524 to 776 of the family's 1533-position model. The record is from RNAcentral.
UACAGAGGUGGCAAGCGUUGUUCGGAAUUACUGGGCGUAAAGGGCGCGUAGGCGGCCUUGUAAGUCUUGUGUGAAAUCCCUCGGCUCAACUGAGGAACUGCACGGGAUACUGCGAGGCUUGAGUUCGGGAGAGGGAAGCGGAAUUCCGGGUGUAGCGGUGAAAUGCGUAGAUAUCCGGAGGAACACCGGUGGCGAAGGCGGCUUCCUGGACCGAUUACUGACGCUGAGGCGCGAAAGCUAGGGGAGCAAACGGG